This 577-nucleotide long non-coding RNA is filed under the name Ananas comosus (pineapple). RNAcentral's name for it is "long non-coding RNA (ACOM_LNC041583)". The record is from RNAcentral. Lineage: Eukaryota; Viridiplantae; Streptophyta; Magnoliopsida; Poales; Bromeliaceae.
GUGCAUUGAGCUGAGGUCAGUAAUUGCCCACUGGGAACUAUAAAUUAUAGUUCUCACGCCCUCUUUUUCUCGAUGUUUUUCAGAGCCUUCCACGCAGGGUGAGGCCAGGGAUCGCGGGAAGGGAGUUGCUUCGAGCUAGCUUCCUUCGAGGACGAGUUGCUAGGUGGUCUACCUCUCGAUAUUUUACCUUUUUGGCGAGAGGUUGAGGGUUUUACCAGUGUACUAGAGACCAUCAUUUUUGUACUAGAGACAGAUAUUGUACUACUUAUGAUUUUUUUUAUUGUCUAGCUUUAUUUCUUUACUUUGGUGUAGAUGAUAGAACUUUACUCGCUCUGAUAUCAUUAGUUGCUAGUUAUUUUACUUCUUUUAUUUGUUCUAUCUCUUGCUUUACUUCCGCUUUUGUUGUAGACGCCUUAUAUGUGUAGACAUAUGGCGGGUCUGUGCACGCUAUUGGAAGGGCCUUCGCCGGUCCCGGGGCGUGACACGCCGGGUCCAUAUCCGUAAGACGGCUAAAACGGUAGACCUAGAGUGCACUGGACGCAUACGAGCCGCGCUGGACCGAGGAGUUAUAGCAACC